AGAGUUUGAUCCUGGCUCAGAACGAACGCUGGCGGCGUGGAUAAGACAUGCAAGUCGAACGAGAUUUUCCGUGGUAGCAAUACCGUGGAAAGUCUAGUGGCGAACGGGUGCGUAACACGUGGGCAAUCUGCCUUAAAGUGGGGGAUAGCUCGGCGAAAGCCGAAUUAAUACCGCAUGUGAUCAGGGGAGACAUCUUCCCGAAAUCAAAAGUGGCGCAAGCUACUGCUUUUUGAGGAGCCCGCGGCCUAUCAGCUAGUUGGUGAGGUAACGGCUCACCAAGGCUUUGACGGGUAGCUGGUCUGAGAGGACGACCAGUCACACUGGAACUGAGACACGGUCCAGACACCUACGGGUGGCAGCAGUCGAGAAUUUUUCUCAAUGGGGGAAACCCUGAAGGAGCGACGCCGCGUGGAGGAUGAAGGUCUUCGGGUUGUAAACUCCUGUCAUUUGGGAACAAGUGCCGGUACGUAACUGCUACCGGCUUGAUAGUACCAGAAGAGGAAGGGACGGCUAACUCUGUGCCAGCAGCCGCGGUAAUACAGAGGUCUCAAGCGUUGUUCGGAUUCAUUGGGCGUAAAGGGUGUGUAGGUGGCGCCGUAAGUCGGGUGUGAAAUUUCGGAGCUUAACUCCGAAACUGCAUUCGAUACUGCGGUGCUUGAGGACUGGAGAGGAGACUGGAAUUCAUGGUGUAGCAGUGAAAUGCGUAGAGAUCAUGAGGAAGACCAGUGGCGAAGGCGGGUCUCUGGACAGUUCCUGACACUGAGACACGAAGGCCAGGGGAGCAAACGGGAUUAGAUACCCUAGUAGUCC
RNAcentral lists this ribosomal RNA (810 nucleotides) under uncultured bacterium. RNAcentral describes it as "bacterial SSU rRNA". It matches the Rfam family "Bacterial small subunit ribosomal RNA", at positions 8 to 796 of the family's 1533-position model. The record is from RNAcentral.